RNAcentral lists this long non-coding RNA (566 nucleotides) under Zonotrichia albicollis (white-throated sparrow). RNAcentral's name for it is "lncRNA (ENSZALG00000009897.1)". The record is from RNAcentral. Lineage: Eukaryota; Metazoa; Chordata; Aves; Passeriformes; Passerellidae.
GGGAAGGUGGCCUUCAGAGAGGGACUGUGGUCAAACCCUGCCUUGGAAUUAGGCUGCAGUGGACUUGUAAAAUUGAUUAUAUACUGAAAAUCAAGGGAAGUACAUCAAGGCAAUAGACUUGAUAAAAGUACAUGGAAGGAAUGAAGAGUCUCAAGAAAACACUGUAUCUGCAAAUACAAGGAUGCUCCUUGGCUGAAAAACAGUGCCUAUUUAUGAGAAGAGGAAGUUUCAGAGACUUUUUGGAUGACUAAGACUCGAGAAACCUCUGGACUGUGUGGCUCCCUGAGUUGCUCCACAUGAAACAUCUACAGAUAUGGUAUUCAGAGGGUGGCAGCACAGAGGACACAUGGAAAAGACAGGGUUACAAUACAAUGUCUUCCCACCUAGUGGGUGGGUGCUGGCCUGAGGUUCAGCUAACUGAACAAGAUACACAAAGCAAAACUUCCAGACAUGGGAAAUUGCUGGCUAUGCUGGAUAUCUGUGAGAAGCUGAGUGCCAUGAGCACUGGCUGGACUUCACAGUUUGCUAAAGAGAAGGUAUAUGAGACAGCCGGACUUGACAAAUGA